GUAAGGAAUAUUGGACAAUGGGCGAAAGCCUGAUCCAGCCAUGCCGCGUGAAGGAUUAAGGUCCUCUGGAUUGUAAACUUCUUUUAUUUGGGACGAAAAAAGGGAAUUCUUUCCCACUUGACGGUACCAAGUGAAUAAGCACCGGCUAACUCCGUGCCAGCAGCCGCGGUAAUACGGAGGGUGCAAGCGUUAUCCGGAUUCACUGGGUUUAAAGGGUGCGUAGGCGGGUAUGUAAGUCAGUGGUGAAAUCUCGGAGCUUAACUCCGAAACUGCCAUUGAUACUAUAUAUCUUGAAUAUUGUGGAGGUUUGCGGAAUAUGUCAUGUAGCGGUGAAAUGCUUAGAUAUGACAUAGAACACCUAUUGCGAAGGCAGCAGGCUACACAUAUAUUGACGCUGAGGCACGAAAGCGUGGGGAUCAAACAGGAUUAGAAACCCCUGUAGUCC
RNAcentral lists this ribosomal RNA (445 nucleotides) under uncultured bacterium. Its description in RNAcentral is "bacterial SSU rRNA". It matches the Rfam family "Bacterial small subunit ribosomal RNA", at positions 354 to 796 of the family's 1533-position model. The record is from RNAcentral.